Molecule: ribosomal RNA, 400 nt
Filed under: uncultured bacterium
Lineage: Bacteria
Description: bacterial SSU rRNA
Rfam family: Bacterial small subunit ribosomal RNA
Source: RNAcentral
UGGGGAAUUUUGGACAAUGGACGCAAGUCUGAUCCAGCCAUGCCGCGUGCGGGAAGAAGGCCUUCGGGUUGUAAACCGCUUUUGUCAGGGAAGAAAUCUUCUGGGUUAAUACCUCGGGAGGAUGACGGUACCUGAAGAAUAAGCACCGGCUAACUACGUGCCAGCAGCCGCGGUAAUACGUAGGGUGCAAGCGUUAAUCGGAAUUACUGGGCGUAAAGCGUGCGCAGGCGGUUAUGCAAGACAGGUGUGAAAUCCCCGAGCUCAACUUGGGAACUGCACUUGUGACUGCAUAGCUAGAGUACGGUAGAGGGGAGUGGAAUUCCGCGUGUAGCAGUGAAAUGCGUAGAUAUGCGGAGGAACACCGAUGGCGAAGGCAACUCCCUGGACCUGUACUGACGCU